Molecule: long non-coding RNA, 331 nt
Filed under: Vigna radiata
Lineage: Eukaryota; Viridiplantae; Streptophyta; Magnoliopsida; Fabales; Fabaceae
Description: long non-coding RNA (VRAD_LNC007329)
Source: RNAcentral
GCGCGUCCUUCAAAUAUUUUUUACUUUUUUUACUUUUAUAUAAUAAAAACUUUUUUUUACUUUUAACCGUUUCAGCUACCUCACUUUUUCUUUCCUUCGGCGAUGUGGCAGAAUGUGCACUGGUUGAUGAUCAAGUCGACGAGAGGUUAGUUGCAUUUCUUCCCUUUUUCUUCUUUGUUUUUGCAUUUCUUUUCUUUUUUUUUUCUCUGUUUUUGCAUUUAUCCGUUUCUUUAUUUCAUGAUCUUUAUAAUUCAAAGAAGUAGGAGGAGAUGGAAAGGUCUUUUUUACUGCGUGACAUGAUUGAAAGAAAUAAAGAGUACAUAAAAGGAAA